Molecule: RNA transcript, 1038 nt
Organism: Olea europaea var. sylvestris
Lineage: Eukaryota; Viridiplantae; Streptophyta; Magnoliopsida; Lamiales; Oleaceae
Gene name: nicotinamidase 1-like
Exons: 6
Source: RefSeq, a predicted model, not a curated record
AAUAGAAUAUCUAAAUACUGUAUUGGGAUUCCACGUUUCACGCCACUAAAUACAGUGCAAAUCUUCUGCGUUGUUUCCACCUCUCUCUCGAGAAAAGUUUCUCUCUCUAGAUUUACAGAAAUCGCAGAAAAAGAAUGGAGUCGUAUUCGCCUCAGACAAUUGAGCUUUUGAAGAAUGAGAUUCCGGUGGAUCAGGAGUCUCUUCUUCUUUCCGGUGAUGUAAAAACCGGUUUAGUUCUUGUUGACAUCGUUAAUGGUUUCUGCACAGUUGGUUCCGGAAAUCUGGCUCCACAAGCUCUAGAUGAACAAAUUUCUGGAAUGGUUGAUGAGUCAGUGAAGCUUGCCAAAAUGUUCUGUGAGAAGAAAUGGCCUAUAUAUGCUUUACUUGAUACUCAUCAUCCAGAUAUUCCUGAGCCUCCAUAUCCCCCUCACUGUUUAGCUGGAACUGAUGAGUCAAAAUUGGUUCCCGCCUUGCAGUGGUUGGAAAAUGAACCCAAUGCAACACUAAGGUGCAAGGGAUGUAUUGAUGGGUUUAUAGGUUCAUUUGAGAAAGAUGGAUCCAAUGUCUUCGUGGAUUGGGUGAAAGCCAACGAGAUCAGAGCCAUGCUGGUUGUAGGGAUAUGCACAGACAUUUGUGUGCUUGAUUUCGUCUGUUCGGCACUUUCUGCAAGAAAUCGCGGUUUUCUCGCUCCAUUGGACGAUGUGAUCGUUUAUUCUCGUGGUUGCGCUACUUUCGAUUUUCCAGUUCAUGUCGCCAGAAAUAUCAAAGAUGCUUUAGCUUAUCCACAGCAUGAAACAAAUAGUUUGGUUUUUCUUCUUUCGGCUCCUUCCUGACGCACAUAAAAGAACAAGGAAUAAACCAUUUGUACCGAGGGGGUGUACCGAACCGUUUACACCCCCCUCACAAACAUGCGGGCCCCAUAUGUUAUUUAAUAAUCCGAACCGAGGUCCCACCCAAAUGAUGAACUGAUGCAUCAUAUAGGACUUUACAUGGCCAAAGGCAGAGGAGCCAAGGUGGUUUCUGAAGUCUCGUUUGUUA